CACCAUAAUCGAUUAUACAUGCCAAACUAAAAUGAAAAUUUCAGUUUCAAUUACAGUUAAGUAAAGUCUCAACUUCAGAACAAACAUAUGCUACAAAUGGUUAUACUUAAGUAAUUAGGCUGGCAUGGACAAUAAACCAAAAUACAAUAAGAUGAUAUAGCUAAUAAAAUAAUAAGGGAUCAUCCCUUUUCAACUUCUAUAACUCAAAUUACAUAACUCAGACCCAGCUUAGCCUAAAAACUUCAUUUAUAUUCAUAGUGUGAAGAGAUGUACCUGGAGAAUGAAAUAAAAGGAAAUCAGUAGCCCAGCAGAAAACAACGGAAUUAAGCAACCAGAAUCAGCUAAUGAACCAAAUUCAACCCCAGGAAAUGAUUUAAACAGCCCAGAAACAAUUCGAAUGAAUAACAACCAAGCGAACUUCCAAUCAAUGCUUAAAAGAGAACGAGAUUCAAUACAUAUUAACAAUUAAACGAAUCAGAACUUGCUUUAGUAAUUCAAAACUUCGAGAUCAUUGAAACGAAGUUUGAUAAAACAGUAGAAAUUUUAGCCAUUUUUUGUAUUUUUCUGGAUUUUAUCUCUUAGGUCUGCCUUCAUAUGCAAGAAAACCAUGCCUUUAUAUGCAAGGAAGUAGGGCAGCUUUCAUGUUCUAUUUUUUGCAUUUUUCCGCUUGGUGAACUUUAGUUUUUUCUACUUAGUCCUUAUCUAGUUUUCCUUUUUUCUGAACUAUCCCUAAUGUAUUUAUCAAACUAACACAAAAUCCCCUCACCCCAGCUUCAUGGAAGCUUCCAAUUCAGUUACCAUGAGGUUCCCUCACUAAAACUACCCAAACUACCUCUUCACCCUCUAAAAAUUACUUCAGAUACCAAACAAAAUAGGUUAACUUUGACCCAAGGUUGAAUUGAUUCAAACCCAGCCCAAAUCAAUGAUCAAAAAUCUAAAGGCAUAGACCAAAAGCCCAAAUCAAGCCAAAUUGACUUAAACCAACACCAAUAACAAAGACAAUCCAAACAACUUCAAAGAAUCAAUUAAUGGACUAAUUAAUCAGGCUAAAUGAUCCUAGAGGUUUAAAUUAACAUGCAUAACACAAAUGAACCUUAAGAAACUAAUAAGAAAACAAAAAUAGAAACCAAAAGAAGCAAACGAUGGGUUGACUUUAAACAACAGAAGAGAAAAAAGAAAAGAACCAGAAAUAUAAAAAUACCUAAAGGAUUGUCCAAACCUUGAAGUUCUUCUUCACGAACUCAAUUUUAACCGAGAGGGCCUUAAUCAUGUGUCUUCAUAUAAAAACACAUGACCAAGGUCCGUUCUGGUCUUAAUCAACGUAUAACCUACUAAUUUCAGAGGCUUCGACAUAUUUAGGUCUUACUUCCAACUCAGAUUCAACAAAUUCAGUGUGUAUUCGAAGGAAUUGGGGUUAGGAUUUAGGAAGAGGGGAGUGAGGGGAUCUCAGGGUAUUGAUUUGGUGAGGAUUAGUGGUGGCACCACUGGGUAAGGGAUUGGGAAUUCUAGGGCAGCGGAUAGGGUUCUAGGUUGAGUUCUCUGAU
This 1544-nucleotide long non-coding RNA is filed under the name Nicotiana benthamiana. Its description in RNAcentral is "long non-coding RNA (NBEN_LNC019768)". Lineage: Eukaryota; Viridiplantae; Streptophyta; Magnoliopsida; Solanales; Solanaceae. The record is from RNAcentral.